UCUAUUCCUUUGCCGGUGGAUGCUUUUCUCGAAAGAUUGGACGAUCUUUCCAUGGGCUACUGCUCUCACUAUAAUUCGUUAUACAGGUCGUAACGGGAGAAUUUUUUGGAGAGCAUAGAGAAAUAUUUGUAUGUCAGAAAGGGCUUUUGGAGAUCUAUGACCAAGAACCAAGCAGAGCCACGAGCCCUCUAUCUUCACUCUGUUUUGAUGCAUCGUUCAGGUUCUGCUUUAAUGCUUUCGCUCAUACACAGUGAGAUCAUGAAAAUGUUUCAAAUGUGGGGCCUUUUGGAUUUUGAUAUAGAGAUUUCCUUUCCUCGUGAUCAUGAUGGUCUUCCGAGAGCCUAUGAUAAGUAAAAGAGCAAAGAAUCUGAUCAGCCCCACAUAUUGACAGUACAAAUGUUAUCGGAAGAGGUGAUGUUUAUACUCUUGACCCUUUGAUUUCUUACAUUUUUAUACAUUAAAUCUUAUCUAAGUGAAAUUAAAGAAAAACGGACACUUGAUGCUUACAAUAAGUUAUGACCAUUUCUCUGUUUUUCGUUCUUUUUGCUUCUUUUAAUUUACUCUCAUGCUGGGACAAGUGGAACAUGAGUUGAAAACAAGAAACUAAUCACCUAAAAUGAUUGCUAAUUGUUUGAUUAAUUAUAAC
Long non-coding RNA from Hibiscus syriacus, 646 nucleotides. RefSeq lists it as uncharacterized. The record is from RefSeq and is a predicted model, not a curated record. NCBI's taxonomy places the organism in Eukaryota, Viridiplantae, Streptophyta, Magnoliopsida, Malvales, Malvaceae. The transcript is spliced from 3 exons.